AUUGAACGCUGGCGGCAUGCUUUACACAUGCAAGUCGAGCGGCAGCGCGGGGCAACCUGGCGGCGAGCGGCGAACGGGUGAGGAAUACAUCGGAACGUACCCGAGAGUGGGGGGAUAACGCCGCGAAAGCGGCGCUAAUACCGCAUAUUCUCUGAGGAGGAAAGUGGGGGACCGCAAGGCCUCACGCUCACGGAGCGGCCGAUGUCGGAUUAGCUAGUUGGUGGGGUAAAGGCUUACCAAGGCGACGAUCCGUAGCUGGUCUGAGAGGAUGAUCAGCCACACUGGGACUGAGACACGGCCCAGACUCCUACGGGAGGCAGCAGUGGGGAAUAUUGGACAAUGGGCGCAAGCCUGAUCCAGCAAUGCCGCGUGUGUGAAGAAGGCCUGCGGGUUGUAAAGCACUUUCAGUGGGGAAGAACAGGUUCGGGUCAAUACCCCGGAGCCCUGACGUUACCCACAGAAGAAGCACCGGCUCACUCCGUGCCAGCAGCCGCGGUAAUC
Molecule: ribosomal RNA, 501 nt
Filed under: uncultured bacterium
Lineage: Bacteria
Description: bacterial SSU rRNA
Rfam family: Bacterial small subunit ribosomal RNA
Source: RNAcentral